UACAGAGGUCUCAAGCGUUGUUCGGAUUCAUUGGGCGUAAAGGGUGCGUAGGCGGCGCGGUAAGUCGGGUGUGAAAUCUCGGAGCUUAACUUCGAAACUGCAUUCGAUACUGCCGUGCUUGAGGACUGGAGAGGAGACUGGAAUUUACGGUGUAGCGGUGAAAUGCGUAGAUAUCAGGAAGAACACCAAUGGCGAAAGCAGCUCUCUGGGACGGUACUGACGCUGAGACGCGAAAGCGUGGGGAGCGAACAGG
This 253-nucleotide ribosomal RNA is filed under the name uncultured bacterium. RNAcentral describes it as "partial 16S ribosomal RNA". It matches the Rfam family "Bacterial small subunit ribosomal RNA", at positions 524 to 776 of the family's 1533-position model. The record is from RNAcentral.